RNA transcript from Gadus morhua (Atlantic cod), 767 nucleotides. It is a transcript of the gene named sperm acrosome membrane-associated protein 4, with no coding region annotated. Lineage: Eukaryota; Metazoa; Chordata; Actinopteri; Gadiformes; Gadidae. The transcript is spliced from 3 exons. The record is from RefSeq and is a predicted model, not a curated record.
CUUAAUUCUUAUAUCUGUUCUUUCAUCUGUCUUUACCUCCUCGAUGGGGGACAAUAAAAGCAGUAGAGACGAGGUAUUGAGCACCAGACUGUUGAACCUCUGAGUCCUGUUCGUGUCUGCGCCGUCGUCUUCUGAUCCGCUGGGAAUAUGGCCGCUGUUUGGACCAGACUUCUUCUCCUGGGAGUGUUUAUUGCCGUCGCACACGGGCUGACGUGCGGCCGAUGUCCGAUCGCAAUCUUUGGGCAAUGUCUGUUUCCCAGGUAUGAUGUCCAGUGCAACACCUCGACCAGCAGCUGCUUCAACGAGACUAUGUUGUUCAAUGCGACUGAUUUUAUCCGACUUCAACGCCAGGGGUGUGUGCCCUCGACCGCUUGUGACCAGACAGAGGCCAGCGCCUUCCUUGGAAUCGGUUACACCUUUUCCGUCGCCUGCUGCGGGACGGACCUGUGCAAUGGAGGGACGUCACGGUCACAACCAUACAGCGGAGGGACGUCGGUGCAGCUGUCGCUCGCUGCCGCGUUCGUUGCCGUUCUGGCGUCGCUCGUGGCUCGUUAGACGACACAUGGUGCUACGACGAUACUUUCUCAGCAGACAGUUAUGAAUAAAUCCAUGAUUCAUUAAAGAGACCGUAAUAAAUAUUUCGAUUUAAAUGUGUUGAUUUAAGUGUGCGGCUUGUCAGUUGUCAGGUCAUGGGUUUCAUAAAGUUGAAUGUUGUUAACUGGUUUAAAUAGGCCUAAUAUUGAAGAAUUAAAGGAUCAAAAAGUGUU